Molecule: long non-coding RNA, 136 nt
Organism: Etheostoma spectabile (orangethroat darter)
Lineage: Eukaryota; Metazoa; Chordata; Actinopteri; Perciformes; Percidae
Exons: 3
Source: RefSeq, a predicted model, not a curated record
CUGGAGCAAGUGUAUUUAACUGUGGAUCCUCAGAAAACACGCACCAGUGUUUUCAUACCUGCAGUAGAAGGUAACAACGUUUUUCUUCUCAAAAGUUGACUAAAAUUGCUCCCUGCUGCCCUUCUGGGGGAGAAAG